UACGAAGGGGGCUAGCGUUGCUCGGAAUCACUGGGCGUAAAGCGCACGUAGGCGGGUUGCUAAGUCAGGGGUGAAAUCCUGGAGCUCAACUCCAGAACUGCCUUUGAUACUGGCGGCCUUGAGUCCGGGAGAGGUGAGUGGAACUGCGAGUGUAGAGGUGAAAUUCGUAGAUAUUCGCAAGAACACCAGUGGCGAAGGCGGCUCACUGGCCCGGUACUGACGCUGAGGCGCGAAAGCCAGGGGAGCAAACGGG
This 253-nucleotide ribosomal RNA is filed under the name uncultured bacterium. RNAcentral describes it as "partial 16S ribosomal RNA". It matches the Rfam family "Bacterial small subunit ribosomal RNA", at positions 524 to 776 of the family's 1533-position model. The record is from RNAcentral.